UACGGAGGAUGCGAGCGUUAUCCGGAUUUAUUGGGUUUAAAGGGUGCGUAGGUUGUUUUUUAAGUCAGCGGUGAAAGUUUGCGGCUCAACCGUAAAAUUGCAGUUGAUACUGGCAUCCUUGAGUACAGUAGAGGUAGGCGGAAUUCGUGGUGUAGCGGUGAAAUGCUUAGAUAUCACGAAGAACUCCGAUUGCGAAGGCAGCCUGCUGGACUGUAACUGACGCUGAUGCUCGAAAGUGUGGGUAUCAAACAGG
RNAcentral lists this ribosomal RNA (253 nucleotides) under uncultured bacterium. RNAcentral's name for it is "partial 16S ribosomal RNA". It matches the Rfam family "Bacterial small subunit ribosomal RNA", at positions 524 to 776 of the family's 1533-position model. The record is from RNAcentral.